This 29-nucleotide non-coding RNA is filed under the name Rattus norvegicus (Norway rat). Lineage: Eukaryota; Metazoa; Chordata; Mammalia; Rodentia; Muridae. The record is from RNAcentral.
UGGAGCUCUAUACAGAUCAUGCUGGCCUU